Molecule: small nucleolar RNA, 148 nt
Organism: Myotis lucifugus (little brown bat)
Lineage: Eukaryota; Metazoa; Chordata; Mammalia; Chiroptera; Vespertilionidae
Product: small nucleolar RNA SNORA57
Source: Ensembl
AUUCUUCUUCUUGGUGGGAGGCCAGACCGUGGCCUUGUUCCCCGUAAUGCAAAGAAGCAGAGUGAAAGGUCUCUGGCCCCUCUAUAUCAUGUCUUUGGUAUUGAUGGUUUCUAGUCUACCAGUUCUAUCCUCAAGCACUGGGACACUG